CGUGUUCUCUGAAAUGAAUCAAAAUGAAUAGAUGGUGAAGAAUCAACGAUUCCAGCAUCAACCUCAAUCACCGAAAUUACCGAUCAUUCAUCAUUUCUUGUUUCAUCUCCGUGUAUGCAGAAUUGACAUUGAUAAUUAAAGAAAAAGGAAUUCACUGAAUCAACGUUUCGUCGUGAACAGGUAACAAAUGUUUUCCCCUUUCUUCAUUUGAUCUCCUCCUUCUCUGAG
RNAcentral lists this long non-coding RNA (228 nucleotides) under Lathyrus oleraceus (garden pea). Its description in RNAcentral is "Pisum sativum (pea) long non-coding RNA (PSAT_LNC027019)". Lineage: Eukaryota; Viridiplantae; Streptophyta; Magnoliopsida; Fabales; Fabaceae. The record is from RNAcentral.